AUUAUUGGGCGUAAAGAGCUCGUAGGCGGUCUGUCGCGUCUGCUGUGAAAACUGGAGGCUCAACCUCCAGCCUGCAGUGGGUACGGGCAGACUAGAGUGCGGUAGGGGAGAUUGGAAUUCCUGGUGUAGCGGUGGAAUGCGCAGAUAUCAGGAGGAACACCGAUGGCGAAGGCAGAUCUCUGGGCCGUAACUGACGCUGAGAAGCGAAAGCAUGGGGAGC
Molecule: ribosomal RNA, 220 nt
Filed under: uncultured bacterium
Lineage: Bacteria
Description: partial 16S ribosomal RNA
Rfam family: Bacterial small subunit ribosomal RNA
Source: RNAcentral